Molecule: long non-coding RNA, 835 nt
Filed under: Setaria viridis
Lineage: Eukaryota; Viridiplantae; Streptophyta; Magnoliopsida; Poales; Poaceae
Description: long non-coding RNA (SVIR_LNC009552)
Source: RNAcentral
ACCAGCAGCCAUACCCAGCUCAACACGCGCUACCAAUCGAGGGUGCUCAAUCCUCACAACAAUAAAAUCAAGAUCAUAGCAGACAGCCUCAACAACAGCAAACAAACUAUGGCAAUGGAUAGAGAGGUGGUCACGCCGGAAGAGGAAGAGGCCGAGGGAGAGGAUCUCCGAGGCCGCACAUUAAAAACAAUCAACCUCGAAUGUUCUAUUGCACUUUUCACGGCAAGCAACUAGAUCAUGCGAUCGACUUCUACCCAGAAACAAAAAGGACCUUUGAAAGAAUAGCUAAAGAAAAAAGAGCAGCUGCAUUACCUAAAACAUCCACCAUACCUCUUUUUGGCCACAACAGCCAUAUUUCCAAGCUUACCCACACACAAACCCAAAUACUAACCUCGCAAACUCCUUUUCCAAUCCUUCGUUCAACUACCAACCCACCAUGAUGUGGCAACCCUCGCCUCAGUAUCAACCUCAAAGUCAGCAAGCCUCGCAAACUGUUAGCUUCGCACCUCCUCAGCCUCUACAUGAGAUACCACUACCUCCACCAAACCUACCUAAUCAAAUACCCAAAGCUGAACCUAACAAUAUUCAAAACAACAACCCCAAAGCCUUACGCACCUACAGCAUGAUAAUGCCAAUAUUUGGAGGAUCCUGCAACUCGAAAACCCAGAAACCAAUUCAAACACCUUGCCCACCUAUGACAUGAUCAUGCCAAUAGCAGGUGGAUCCUCUCUAGAGUUCGAGAACAAAAGACAGACAAAACUACUUUAGACAAGUAAAUUCCAUCAUCCCCGAUGGGCCACUAGCCAAGCUAGGAUGGGUACCCAUGCCCAUCUCC